Molecule: long non-coding RNA, 1234 nt
Organism: Carassius gibelio (silver crucian carp)
Lineage: Eukaryota; Metazoa; Chordata; Actinopteri; Cypriniformes; Cyprinidae
Exons: 3
Source: RefSeq, a predicted model, not a curated record
UGUUUUGACAGCAGUUGUGAAAUGUUUAUCUCUCUUCCAGCUAUCGUAACACCUAUAUGUAAAUUUGACUGCAGUCUUUAUUCCUUUUUAAAAGCGGAUUUUAAGUGCUCAAAAGAAAGUUUUACGUAAGUAACGUUAAGCGUACAUUUGGUAAGUCCUGUAUGUACAGUAGAUGUGUACCCUUCUGAGUUGUCUCCGCGUUUUGAAAGAUGAAAGAUUGAAAAAUAGUCGGCAUGGUACACUCGUCGUCUAUAAUAUGUAACUUCGGACUAUCAAUUGAUGGCACCCACCCCAUCAUUGCCUGUAGCAAUGGGGACAUUGGAUAGCUAAAACUUUUUUUUGUUUGUUUUUUUACUGUACAGUCAUUGAUAUGCUGUGUGCUGUAGAGAGCAAAUGUUGGUCACACCUGUGAGAGUUGGGAGUGGGAUCCGGACAGUAAAUCUCCUGAUGCUCAUCUGUCUCUGUGCCGACAAGCUGUGUAUUUCCACCCUCUGCUGGACAGUCAGGGUACUGCAGGGGUCAGAGGCACCAAAGGCAUCGACAGCGAGAGUUGGGAGCUGUCAUAUAAAGGCUUCAUCUGGCAUAACAGAGGGAGGCACAAAUACACAGAGCCUUCUUAUGAAAGAAAUACAGUCCUUGGGGUUUUGCUGGACUUGAGCGCUGGAACACUGACGUUCUUCUGGCCUGGAGCAGGCCAGUGAGGCUCUGUAUCCUCUAGUUUCAGCUGGGUGUGAGGAGCCAGAGAAUCUCCUGCCUACAGGACCCACAUUAUAGACACGCACACGAAUUACCAUUACCCACAGCUCUGCUCUGUCAAAUACACACACAUGUGCAUUUAUAAAGGAGGUAUGACUUGUUUCUGAUUUAUUUAGAACAUACCAACCUCAAAUACCAACACAAAAAUGUCUUGUGCAGCAGAUCCAUUUUAUAAGCAGCCUACCUCAAAAAUUAUGUUUAUUACUUCAGCUGAACAAAAAAACACGUGUGACCCUAAUGUAAUCAUAUUACUGUUUGUAUUCUUAAUUUAUAUCCCAUUUCUGCAUUUUAUACAUGAUGUUGUUGCCAAUGAUUGUGUACCAAAAUAAGAUGUAAUUACCUGUAUUUAUAAUUAUUUGUAACUUUUUGGGACCAAAUAUGUAAAAGCCAAUUAAAUAUAACUGCCUGCUUUAAUAUGUAUUGAGAAAACUGGUAAAAGUGUUUCUAUUUGCUCACCAAAACCUGUGGAUGUUAAAAA